RNAcentral lists this ribosomal RNA (306 nucleotides) under uncultured Dechloromonas sp. RNAcentral describes it as "bacterial SSU rRNA". It matches the Rfam family "Bacterial small subunit ribosomal RNA", at positions 554 to 858 of the family's 1533-position model. The record is from RNAcentral. Lineage: Bacteria; Pseudomonadati; Pseudomonadota; Betaproteobacteria; Rhodocyclales; Azonexaceae.
CUGGGCGUAAAGCGUGCGCAGGCGGUUUUGUAAGACAGGCGUGAAAUCCCCGGGCUCAACCUGGGAACUGCGCUUGUGACUGCAUCACUCGAGUACGGCAGAGGGGGGUGGAAUUCCACGUGUAGCAGUGAAAUGCGUAGAGAUGUGGAGGAACACCAAUGGCGAAGGCAGCCCCCUGGGUCGAUACUGACGCUCAUGCACGAAAGCGUGGGGAGCAAACAGGAUUAGAUACCCUGGUAGUCCACGCCCUAAACGAUGUCAACUAGGUGUUGGGUGGGUAAAACCAUUUAGUACCGUAGCUAACGC